RNAcentral lists this ribosomal RNA (485 nucleotides) under uncultured bacterium. RNAcentral describes it as "bacterial SSU rRNA". It matches the Rfam family "Bacterial small subunit ribosomal RNA", at positions 28 to 506 of the family's 1533-position model. The record is from RNAcentral.
GAUGAACGCUAGCGGCAGGCCUAACACAUGCAAGUCGAGGGGCAGCACAGGUAGCAAUACUGGGUGGCGACCGGCGGAUGGGUGCGUAACGCGUAUGCAACCUACCAUUGAUUGGGGCAUAGCCCGAAGAAAUUCGGAUUAAUACUCCAUAAUAUUCAUCAAAGGCAUCUUUUAUGAAUUAAAGCUUUUGCGAUCAAUGAUGGGCAUGCGUGACAUUAGUUAGUUGGUGAGGUAACGGCUCACCAAAACGAUGAUGUCUAGGGGUUCUGAGAGGAUUAUCCCCCACACUGGUACUGAGACACGGACCAGACUCCUACGGGAGGCAGCAGUGAGGAAUAUUGGUCAAUGGGCGCAAGCCUGAACCAGCCAUCCCGCGUGAAGGAAGAAUGCGCUACGCGUUGUAAACUUCUUUUCCAGGGGUAGAAUAAUACCUGUCGUGACAGGACUUGACGGUACUCUGGGAAUAAGGCAUCGGCUAACUCCGU